CUAAUUAUGUCUCCCACUAUUUUAACGAAUUUCAUAGCCCUCAAGUAUGAAAAUUGAGAAAUAUCUUAAAGUUUUUUAAUAGGGUUGAGAUCCCUAUUCUUCACAAAUACCUUGUGGAUAGCACAACAAGUAUUCAUGAGUUCAAGAUUAGGUAACUGUUUACCAAUUGUACAUAUACAAUUCUCAAUAUUUUUCUCUCUUGUCUCU
Molecule: long non-coding RNA, 207 nt
Filed under: Elaeis guineensis (African oil palm)
Lineage: Eukaryota; Viridiplantae; Streptophyta; Magnoliopsida; Arecales; Arecaceae
Description: long non-coding RNA (EGUI_LNC069122)
Source: RNAcentral